RNAcentral lists this ribosomal RNA (234 nucleotides) under Salmonella enterica. RNAcentral describes it as "partial 23S ribosomal RNA". It matches the Rfam family "Bacterial large subunit ribosomal RNA", at positions 1100 to 1332 of the family's 2925-position model. RNAcentral also lists the same sequence under 2 other names. The record is from RNAcentral. Lineage: Bacteria; Pseudomonadati; Pseudomonadota; Gammaproteobacteria; Enterobacterales; Enterobacteriaceae.
GUUGGCUUAGAAGCAGCCAUCAUUUAAAGAAAGCGUAAUAGCUCACUGGUCGAGUCGGCCUGCGCGGAAGAUGUAACGGGGCUAAACCAUGCACCGAAGCUGCGGCAGCGACACUCAGGUGUUGUUGGGUAGGGGAGCGUUCUGUAAGCCUGUGAAGGUGGCCUGUGAGGGUUGCUGGAGGUAUCAGAAGUGCGAAUGCUGACAUAAGUAACGAUAAAGCGGGUGAAAAGCCCG